Molecule: ribosomal RNA, 771 nt
Filed under: uncultured bacterium
Lineage: Bacteria
Description: bacterial SSU rRNA
Rfam family: Bacterial small subunit ribosomal RNA
Source: RNAcentral
AGAGUUUGAUCCUGGCUCAGGACGAACGCUGGCGGCGUGCUUAACACAUGCAAGUCGAGCGGAAAGGCCCUUCGGGGUACUCGAGCGGCGAACGGGUGAGUAACACGUGAGCAACCUGCCCUUAGCUCUGGGAUAGCUCCGGGAAACCGGAAUUAAUACCGGAUAUGACCAUGGCCGACAUCGGUUGUGGUGGAAAGAUUUAUCGGCUGGGGAUGGGCUCGCGGCCUAUCAGCUUGUUGGUGGGGUAAUGGCCUACCAAGGCGACGACGGGUAGCCGGCCUGAGAGGGCGACCGGCCACACUGGGACUGAGACACGGCCCAGACUCCUACGGGAGGCAGCAGUGGGGAAUAUUGCGCAAUGGGCGGAAGCCUGACGCAGCGACGCCGCGUGGGGGAUGAAGGCCUUCGGGUUGUAAACCCCUUUCGGCAGGGACGAAGCGGAAGUGACGGUACCUGCAGAAGAAGCACCGGCUAACUACGUGCCAGCAGCCGCGGUAACACGUAGGGUGCAAGCGUUGUCCGGAAUCAUUGGGCGUAAAGAGCUCGUAGGCGGUCUGUCACGUCUGCUGUGAAAACUCGGGGCUUAACCCCGAGCUUGCAGUGGAUACGGGCAGACUAGAGGUAGGUAGGGGAGAAUGGAAUUCCCGGUGUAGCGGUGAAAUGCGCAGAUAUCGGGAGGAACACCGGUGGCGAAGGCGGUUCUCUGGGCCUUACCUGACGCUGAGGAGCGAAAGCGUGGGGAGCGAACAGGAUUAGAUACCCCCGUAGUCC